This is a non-coding RNA of Schistosoma curassoni, 45 nucleotides long. Lineage: Eukaryota; Metazoa; Platyhelminthes; Trematoda; Strigeidida; Schistosomatidae. The record is from Rfam.
AUCCAGCUGAUAAGUCCCAAAUAGGACGAAACGCUCCUCCUGGAU